CUUCUUCUUCUUCUUCUCUGUAAUGGUGUUUUAAUCUUCUUGGUUGCAGAGUGUUCUGGUGAGCUCUACUAAACUGUAAGUACUGAUUAACUAACUAAUUCAUCUAUAUUUUGUUUUUUUCUGUAAAACCCUAGAAAAAAUAAUGGUAACAGUAUGUUAUCUUUGUUAAGAUUAAAUGUUGCUCCAUAUAUGUUUAUAUGUUGCUAUAUUAUUGUAAUUUAAGUCUGAUUUGCUUGAUUGUUUCAUUUCAUAUCUAUGUUCUUUUCGGCAAUUAAAGGAUUAACUUGCAGUAGUGAUAAAAUGAUUGGAAACUCUAAAUCCUAAUAAAUCCUAAUCUUAAUAUUGGAGUUACCAACAAGCUACAUUCAAAGUACACCUUUGAGUCGAUAGCGCUUUUUGUAGAUUACAGAAUGAUCAAUCAUGAAAUUGAGUAAGAAAUAGAUAAUGAUGAUGAUGACGAGUCAAGAACACUCACAGGAGAAAGUGAAAUGUCUGAAUAUUGUCAAAUCUUAUUGAGGAAUAACAAGUCUGGUUCUUGUUAAAUUUGUCACCAGGGUUUUCCACUCAUUGGUUUUCCAAGUCAAUAGUGUGUGAUGGGCACGACUAGAAAUUUUAUUUCGCAAUCCCUACUCUUGGGCACUUGACGAGCAAAACAUCUCAUGAACCUACAAAUGUUUCAUCUUUUCGAGAUUCAAAAUCUUAUACUAGGAUCCCAAGUCCCUAACUACUGUAAACUUAGCUUAAGGAUAAUACAACUGCCAUUAUUUGUCUUAAGUUAAAUUUCCGUGUACUACUUUAGUCACUGUGAAUUACUGAUUUACAAAAAACUAUAGAAACUAGCUCGAUCAACAGGCUUCAGCUAGGGUUUAAUGUACGAUACAUGCUCUUCAGAGUAAAAAGAUAGACUAUAUUUUGCUUAUAUAGAUUUUCUUUAUUCUAGCGUGUUUUUUGAUGCUCUGUUAGUUUACCCAGUAAAUGUCAGGAGUUUGCUGGAAAUCUUUGUUUUACAUAAAAUUUCACCCCAAGUACCUAGUGCAGCCAAGCACCAGAAAUUUGCCAAACUUGUAUAUUUCAACAUGCUUUGAGAUGAGAAGGGGUUGAGUGUGUUCGAUUUCUGAGUAGUAAAUACAUAUCCAAUGAUAAAAGGCCAAAAUUUAUGAAAUUUCAAGCUUCGGAGUUCAGCAAAGUCAGCCAAAAGUGUAGCCUUGGGUAUAACCGAAUCACUUAAUCAGGAUAUUAUAUAUGAAAACUGUUGAUAACACAAUCUUUACAGCAAAACGAGCUUGCUUCCUUUUGGGGAAUUACAAAUUAUGUCAGAAAUCGGUAAAAGAAUUAUACUUAUCCCCUUAAUUUUUAACCCUCAAAAUAUAUUCUGCUCAUGCAAAUCAAAAAUAUUAACCGAAAUUGAAUACUACUACAAUGCUACAAUCACGGGUGUUAUUUGAUAUGGAGAUCUUGACAUUAGAAGCCAUCUUCAGAAUUUCGACAUGGACGCAUGGUUACAUCGGAAUUUGAACAAAAACUUACAUCCAAGAACCUCGUCUUUACACCCUUCCAAGAUCACCUUUAAACACUCAGUAGUUAUGUUUGAAUGACUUAGCUUCAGGCAUUUUAGUUUGGGUAGAGGAGUGGGUAUAGAUGAUGCCUGUUUAUGGUUUAUCAAUUAGUUUGUGCAACUUCAUGUGAUAGAUUAGUUUCUUUAAGCAGCUGUGCUGCUCUGUUUGACAUUGAUAAACCAUAUUCAUUGGCAUUUUGCAGAUUUUGUUAAAAUAUUUGAAGCACCAUGCAUGCAUCAUACAAAAACAUGAUUGUAAUGGCUAAGAUUAGUUGGCCUUUGUUAAUACAGCUGUAGUGGUUUUGCCUUUUCAGGAGAUGAGGUAUUUGUCAGAACAGAACUGUGAAGGAACUGUACCGUGAGUUCAACAAAGGCCUGAUUCCACCCAUCAUGAAUUUCAUAGGCAUGAAUGCCAGUAUAAUCGUUUUAAAUAACUGAUAGAUUAAGCAUUUCAACCUAGCACUACGCCCUUACCAUAUUGAUUAGAAGAUCGUGAACAGUUAGAAGGUUUUACAGUUAUGCAGAGCCAUUAUCUGGUAAGAACUUUCUCCUCAACUUUAACGUCCUGUUCAAAUUAGUCAAAUAUAAGAUGUUCAAUGCUAUUCUAAAUUUUUUUUCAGAGUAGCCAAUCUUUCAUGUAUCGUUUAUAUGCUUAGGCGUGAAAAUGAAUCAUUAUUAAACCUAAUCUCUCUGAGAUCAUCCUGCAAUUAUAACUUUCAUGAAUUGGUUUUUUAUCCAGGAGGCAUGUAGUAUAUUACACAUUCAAAUAGGAAUCACAAACUAGUUUAAACAGUGAAAUACUGUCGUUUUUUGCCAUUUUCACUUGAGAGGCUAUAAGUCAUGCCGUUUAAACUUUCUCAUAAAACUCUAAAAGUAGAUUAUGUUCCCAUUUCAAGAGUUGCACUGUUGCACAUACACCCAUAGCAAGAUAACUAGUUAAUGGUUGACCAGACAAUUUAUCUUAGCACAUUGUGAUGUACUGAAUAAAAUUGCCAUGUCAGUUUGGAAAUAAUACUUACCGCUUACUGUACUUUACAUUAACUGUCGAAAUGAGUAACCUAAGCUGCUUGAGAUUAGAUUCAGCCUCCUUAUCCACUGGCCGUGAACAAUGAGAGGAAGCGGUCACCAUAUAAUGAACAUACAUCCUUUUCAGACUCAACAAGCAACUGUUUAAUUUUAGACAAUGGCUUCAUUUAAGAAUUAUUGCAAUUUUUCAAUCAAAUUAGUUUACUAGGUUAUAAUUAUGUACUGUAUAUGAAAAUAUUUCUGAAACUAUAAAUUCCUUCAACCCUCAGUCCUCGUAAUCCUAUAAGACUACCAAUUGCAUAACUCCAUAUCCUUCAAGUGAUAUGGAUAUUUUGGAGCUUGCCAUCAGUCUCCACUGUAAGUAGGCCUAUACAAUAGGGUCAUCAUUAGCACAAAUAAAUACUUGCAGAUUAGUAAAAACCAGUGAUUUUUGUCCAUUUGAUUCACUAAAAACCUUAAAUCGGGUAAUCCACUAUAUUUUUCAUUACUCCAACUUAGAAGUACAUUGUAGAAUGUGAAGGAAACAUGGUGAGGUUGAGUGUUGGAAAUAUAAGGAGUUUUGAAUUUUGCUGACCCAGGAUUGAAUGAGUCUUGGAAGAUGAUUUGGAUGAUUUGUUACAUAUCAUAUUAUCAGUAUAUAUUCAAGCAAGGAAAUAUAAGGAGAACAGACUUAACUAUGUUAUCAGGAUACAGUAUAUAUUUAAACUAUCAAACUUGAUAACAUAGUCUGUUCUCCGAAUCCCAGUUCAUCCUUACUCUUGUGAUCAACUUCUUUGGAUUCAGUCCAAUUCAGGAGAUGUCACUGUGAACCUUAAAGUGAUUAAUGGUUUUAGCAAAAUUUAUUUUAGCACAUUGUGAGGUACUAACUUAAAUUGCGAAUGAGCCUGUGGCUCAAUGGUAGCACCCCUCUCACAAAGUGGAGAGGUCGUGGGUUCGAAACACGUCAACAGCGGAUUGUUGAUAUAAGUUUCCACACGUAAUUUAAAAGGGGUAGGGGUCCCCACAACCUCGCUUACCAACCAAAAAAAAAAAAAAAAAAAACUUAAAUUGUCAUGUCAGUCUGAACAUAAUGUAUAUUUACAGGGUAACGUCGAAGUGACCGUCAAAAGUGUUAGCUCAGGUGUUUAGGAUUAAAGAUCUUAAGAUCCCCAUCCACUGGCCAUGGACAAUGAGAGGAGGUCACCCUAGUAAGCUACAUUUCCCUUUCAACUUUAUAAGCCGCAGUUAAAUUUUAUGUAAUCGUCUUCAUUUGGAAAUUAUUGAAAAUUUGCACUCCGUGAGUAUGAAAAUACUGGACUACAUACAUAAAUUUUAGCAGACCAUUUUAUGCAAUAAAAUUUUUGUUAUAAUCUCACUCCAGUUUUUAAAUGUCUGGUAAUAUAAAUUUCUUCAGCCCACAUCACUACCAACUUGAUUUAACUUAUUAACAAGCCAAAUAUUUCUCUCUAUCUUUUAGAUCUGACUUGCUUAACAUUGUAUAAGCUGUUGGCUUCCCAUCACUGUUGCUUACAUAUCACCCAACUUUUUUAUGAAGCAAUAAGCCACAUAUUACUUUCAAUCUGUUGCAAUAAUAACCAAUAUAUUUUACAUCAGCAAUUUUACAUUUUAUUGUUUU
Molecule: long non-coding RNA, 4196 nt
Filed under: Aquilegia coerulea
Lineage: Eukaryota; Viridiplantae; Streptophyta; Magnoliopsida; Ranunculales; Ranunculaceae
Description: long non-coding RNA (ACOE_LNC000337)
Source: RNAcentral